RNAcentral lists this transfer-messenger RNA (404 nucleotides) under Candidatus Saccharimonadota bacterium. Its description in RNAcentral is "Candidatus Saccharibacteria bacterium transfer-messenger RNA". It matches the Rfam family "transfer-messenger RNA". Rfam says of the family: Bacterial tmRNA, also known as 10Sa RNA or SsrA, is named for its dual tRNA and mRNA-like properties. Lineage: Bacteria; Candidatus Saccharimonadota. The record is from RNAcentral. RNAcentral also lists the same sequence under 1 other name.
GGGGCUGAAUUGAUUUCGACGAUUGGACCUUAACAGAUCAUCUUGCGAGUCGAUUUACCGGGCGCAACCGGUUCAUUUAAUUGCAAACUUUGUUGCAAAAGCAAAAGCAUUUGUAGCGAGCGUUUUCACGCCCCGCGCACUCGCUUUUGCGCCAAUCGCAGCCUAAUUAAGCUGUGAUCGCAUCCGUUCUGAUGUCCGGUAGGAACGUGAUGUGUCAUAUUAUCGGGCUAGGAUGUUACUGAGCUGUAAGCGGUGACAUUCGAAAACUUACUUGCGGCGUGCGAAUCGCUCUGUUUGUCUCUUCUUGAGGCGAGGAGUACGUAAACUAUGCGGAAGAGACUACGCUUGUAGACAGAUGAUCAGUUACCAUUCGGACCCGGGUGCGAUACCCGGCAGCUCCACCA